AUUACCGCGGCUGCUGGCACGUAGUUAGCCGGGGCUUCUUAGUCAGGUACCGUCAUCUUCUUCCCUGCUGAUAGAGCUUUACAUACCGAAGUACUUCUUCACCCACGCGGCGUCGCUGCAUCAGGGUUUCCCCCAUUGUGCAAUAUUCCCCACUGCUGCCUCCCGUAGG
Molecule: ribosomal RNA, 169 nt
Filed under: uncultured bacterium
Lineage: Bacteria
Description: partial 16S ribosomal RNA
Source: RNAcentral